This is a long non-coding RNA of Chelonia mydas (Green sea turtle), 2211 nucleotides long. RefSeq lists it as uncharacterized. The record is from RefSeq and is a predicted model, not a curated record. NCBI's taxonomy places the organism in Eukaryota, Metazoa, Chordata, Testudines, Cheloniidae. The transcript has 2 exons.
GGCUGGAAUGAUUUAAUUGGGGAUUGGUCCUGUUUGAGCAGGGGGUUGGACUAGAUGACCUCCUGAGGUCCCUUCCAACCCUGAUAUUCUAUGAUUCUAUGCUUCUAUGAUUCUAAUGCUCCUAUCCUUCCUGUGAAAAAGCCAAAACCGGGCCCAGAUGGGCGCCCAGGUUAUCGGUUCGUUCAAGAUCUGCAUGCGAUAAAUAGUUAUGUUAUAACUCCCCACCAAGUGGUCCCUGAUCCGAGUACUGUCCUGACACUGAUUCCCCAGUCGGCCAGUGGUGUCCUAUUGCAGUACCUAGGGGAUUGCCCACGCCCCAUAGUUUCCUAUUCCGUACAAUAGGACCCGGUCAUUCGGGGAUUGGUCUCCUGUGUGCGGUCCAUUGCCGCUGCAGCCCUUAUGGUGGAACGGUCACGCCCUAUUGUUCUGGGCCACCCUUUGACUGUCUGGGUCCCCCACGAAGUUGAGGUUCUCUUAAAACAGCAUACAACGCAAGCGCUGUCUCCGCAGUGGGCCCACCAAUACGAGCGGAUUCUGCUGGAUUCAACUAUUGGGGUCUCCAGACUCCAUCAGGACUGCUUGUUUUCUUGUUACUUGGACUUAUAUUUGUUGUCCUGUUUUGUGCAUGGUACACGGGAGGAUGCAAAUACUGGUAUGGGUGGCCUGUGGAAUCCCCUCUCUCUUCUCGAGUUCGGUACACGGAUGGGAAGGCAACAGCUUCCUGGAUUUAACCCAUGCUGUACCACAGGGGGUUAACCGAAUGCGGUGUUGGGUCUGUAUUCAUACCCCCACGUACAUAGGUCAGGGAAUCCCGUUGGUAAGGGAGCCUAUCCCUCUCAACCGAACCCUCCUGGCCGGAUUAUGGACAGACACUCCAUUUAACUGGAACGUUACAAUCCAAACUUGGUCUAUUGAUAUGGUGGCCCAGGGUAGUUAAGCUUUAUGUGUGUCACGAGGUAAGAAUUUCGAAAAUACAGUUUUUGUGGGUAGCUUUGUAGGGUCCAGUGAUACCACCCGCAUUAGCUCUGGUGCGGCAAGUCCCCCCAAGUAUUCCAGGGCGCCGUGGCCGGUCCCUGAGGGAUCAGGCUGGUUCUGGUUGUGCAAGCACACGGCUUAUAAGGUCCCCCCGGCAGGUUGGUGUGGUACAUGCACCUUAAUACCCGCUGUUACAGUACACCAGACCCUGGCCCAGGGGGAAAUUCGGAACCUGGUAUGGAGGAACCGAGGAAAUGUCCCAUUAAAUCCUCUCUCUGAACGGCCUACAGGCUUUCACUCCUUUGUUCGUUGGUUUUUGCCCUGGGUGGGGGUGAGUGAAUUGGAAAAGGCUACAGUUAAUAUUUCUGCAGCCUUAGAAUUAAUGGCAAAUGCCACUGCAGACGCCUUGUCUACCCUUCAAAUGGAGGUGACUCAGUUAUCUCAGACCACACUGCAGAACCCCUUAGCCUUAGACUAUCUUCUUGCAAACCAGGGGGCGUUUGUACUCUUGUUAACUCAAGCUGUUGUGUCUUUGUGAAUCAACACCGCAGAUUAGAAGUCGAUAUCCACACCCUUAUGCAGCAGGCCACCUCACUUCACCGUGUCACCCUUGAUGACACCAGUACCGGAUUCCAUGAGGCCUGGAGCUGGCUCACCUCCUGGCUGCCAGACUUGGGGGCUUGGGGAAGGCGUAUUUUGUACCUCAUUCUUAUGGCUGUUUCUCUUUUUGUAUUACUUUUUGUAUGCCUACAAUGCUGUAGUAUGUGCUGCCGGCAAAUUUUAAUCUUGCAUCGAGGUUAUUUUGCCUCGAUAUAGUUUACUGACGUACAUAAGAAAAGGAAGGACUGUCAGGGGAAAUCAACCGAGUUAGCAUAUGUGACUCCAUUUUGGGUUUCCUCUCGGCCAUUAACUAGAAGCGAGCACAUCACGUACCAAGGGAGGAGGAUCCUUCAGAGUGGACAGCCGGACAGUUUCAAGAGAAGGGAAACAAAGGAGACAGGAACCAGCCGAGGUGCCUGAAAUAGCUGCUAAUUCAGCUUUUCUGCAGGGGGAAGGUGGCUGCAGGGGAUUGGUGAUAGAUAAGGAGAAGGCCUGUUUAUUGGGUUAGGCCCCCCGAGGCACACAGGGAGGAUGUUUUGCCAACAGUAUAUAAUCUUUGUGUAACCUGUAAUCGGGGUCCCGCUCUGCUUAACGGAGCGGUGCCACGCUCGAGCGUAAUAAACCUACAAACUUUAA